UUUUUUUUUUUUUUUUUUUUUUAAUUAACUAAUUAAUUUUAAAAAGAUGUCCUAACCUUGCAAUGCAUACUGUAGAAUUCCUUCCAUCUUCAUAGUCUCCAAAAUCUUUGUCCAUUGAAUAAAAUCUAGACUAUCUUGAGAAUGGUUCCGCUUUUAGGAGGAACAAAAAUCCAGGAGCCCAGCUGAGUUUCCUUCAGGACUUCCUAGUUGACAAGGACGCGAGACACAGACAGGUGAAUUUCACUUGUUAUCCACUGCAGCCCUGGUGGACAGCUCUUAGUCCUCUUAUAUUUUGAUUUUCUUUAAUAAACUCUACCAUCUACAUUAAGAUAGGGUAGACAGCACACACCCCGCUUAUCUCACUAGCAUUUUCUACUAGUUAUUAUUGUUCGUUUGUCUUGGUAAGGGACACAUCAUUAUUUAAAUGUGUGCUUUGUUCUGGCUCCUUGGUGUCACGUGAUGCCCUGGUUUGGUUCUUGGAUCCCAUCAGCGGUGCUGUGUGCUUUGCUUGCUCUGUGUUCUGUGCUGGUUUGGAGUGCAGUCAUCUCUCUUCUUUGAUAGUUUGCCCAGAGUUCUGUUGGGCAUAUGUAGUUUGUCCUUCCACUGGGAUUAGUGGGGUCCUCUCUGACGGUUAGAGUAAGGCAGCAGGCUCUGAGGGCAGACUCAGAGGCCAAGUGCUGCUUCCUUCACGUCCCUUCAAGAGCAAGGUAUGAACUCGAUGGGCUACCCCAGUCACCUUCCAAAAGCCAGACUGACAGGUUUUUCCAUUUGAACUUUAAAAACAAACAAACAAACAAACAAACCAAAACCCACAAACAGUUGUCCUUCCCUUACCCGCUGCUUUCUGAGGAAUUCUCUGAGCAGCUCCACCCUUAGUGACUGGGUGGUGCCCUAGUGCCUCUCCUCCUUAAGGUGUGAAGUAGCAGGCUAGCUUAUUUGGAAUUCUUCUCAUGGGACGUUUGUCUCCCCCCCCCCCCCCCCGUUCAUCUAUUUAUUAAGUUGGUGGGGUAGUACACACCCAUAAUUUAGCAUGGGAGGGUCAGAAGUUCAGGGUCAUCCUCCGCUAUGCUGUGGGUCAAAGGUCAGCCUAGGUGGUGCAGACCGACCCUGUCUCCCUGAUACAUUAUGCCUCCGUGGACUUAUGGAUGGUUAUUCUGUACUUUGGUGGUAAUAUACUAUUUCUCUUUGAUCAGAUUUGGCCACUAGGAACUAACUCUAUGUUCCAUAUAUAGUUAUCUGUCCCAUUGGUGGCAUGUCUGUCAUUAAGAUUUUGUUUUUUAAAGCACCACAUUAUUUUAUGACUAUAGGAAAUGCCUUCUGUGCCCUUUUAACAUUUUUUUCUUAAUGAGAGUAGUGUGACCCAAAGGCUAAAGUUUGGGUUUUAACUUCAUAAUCCGUAGUUUCCCAACUUGAAGGAAUAAGUUAUCUCUUAUCUCUUACAUCAUGAGCUUGAUAGCUUUAUCAACUUGAUACAAGCUAAAGUUAUCUGAGAGGAGGGACCCUCAAUUAAAAUGCCUCCAUAAGAUUGGACUCUUGAAUGCUCUUAACUCCCUCCUAUUGCCCCUCCCUCAAAUGGACUGCAGGCAAGACUGUAGGAUAUUUUCUUAAUUGAUGGGGGAGGGUCCCGCCCAGGUGGAUGGUAUACCUGGGCAGGUGGUUCUGGGUUCUAAAAGAAAGCAAUUCAGUAAGCCACGGAGAGCGAGUCAGUGAGCAGCACUUCUCCAUGGCCUCUUGCAUCAGCUCCUACCUCCAGGCUCCUAGCCCUGUUUUGGUUCCUGUCUUGACAUCCUUUGAUGAUGAACAGUGAUGUGGAAGUGUAAGCCAAAUAAACUCUUCCCCAGUUUGCUUUUGUUGGUCAUGGUAUUUCAUCACAGAAAUGAUAACCCUAACUGAGAGAUAUAUGACUAUACCCGAAGUAUUUAGGUAACAGAGUUGUUAAUAGCUUUAUAUGUAGAUGUUGAUUAUUAACUUAUGCUUAGCGUUUGGACAUUGAAUCAUAUCUUCGGACUUCUGUUUCCAGAUCCUCCUAUGGCCUUUGUGCACACACGCUUAAUGGAUAAACGAGUGUUUGGAGGAUUGAGGUGACCGCUGUGAACUGUUAGGGAGCUUUAGUAGGGACACGUGUCUAUUUUCUUUGAUCUGAUGCAUUUAAAUUAAUGGUCUCUCCUAAAAGCCACAAAGAACUAUGAAGGGCUGUAGUGGAAUGCAUAUCGACUUCUUCAAUAAAAUCUGUUGUCUGUCUAAUUAAAUGUACAUUGAUAGACAAGAGUUUUCUUCCCUAAACAUUUUGUUUUCGGAUUACCAUGAAUCAUAUAACACUGGCUUACAUUAUGUCAGCUAACUGAGAACCCAGUAUAGGAAGAGAAUCCCAAGCCAAAUACAAAUAGAGAAUAGCCAGAAAAAAAGCUCCUUUAUAAAUUAUGGAGAAUGUUUAAGAAAAAAAAAAUGGCACGAUGGCCAAAUUGUUAGAUCGCCAGUGGGGUCAGUGAUGAACUGGAUACUCAUUUGAGACUUUAUAGAGUUGAGAUUCAGGUAAGAGGUUUGGAAGAACUACCUUUCCACAUGACUUGUUGGCACAGACUUUUGUAACCAGAUCCUAUGUGGAAAUGAGAUGGCGACGUUAAACACUGCCAAGGCAGCCUUACACCCGGGAAGACGGCUGUUCUAUAGCAGGUGUAGAAAUGGAACGAGUGCUUUUAUUGUUAAUUUUUUUUUUUUAUUUUGUUGGGGAGAAAGUCUAUGUGCCUGGCAGUGGAUACCAAGGCCUAUGUAAAUUACGGGUGCUCUCUUUGUAUCGGAAGCCUUUUUAACCACACCAUGUAUGGUUAUGGACUCUGGUGUUACAGGAAUCAGUAUCUUCAUCGUUUUUCCUAUAUGAGGUUGGGCGCUGCCAUUAACAAAGGGCUAUAGAGUAGGAUGUGUUUGAGCGGCAGAAGAGCUUCUGACACUCAGUACAUUCCCCACUCUGAUCUUUUCCGGAGUAACGUUUCAUCUGUCCUUUCUAGGAAGCUGAUCUGGUUCCUGUCCUCCAACUGACCAGCACCUAGAAUGUCAACAAAAUGACUCAUCUGCAACAUCCUGUCCUUUUCUGCAGAAAGAACUGUUUGCUUUUGGAAACUGUAGAGCUUACCUCUGUGGAAAAACCCCAAAGCAUUGUUUCAACACAGGUUUCCUUAAGUUAUGCCUUCUGAUUUCUUCUCCUUGUCUCCUUUUCCUCUUCUUCCUUCUCUCUUUCUCUUUCUCUUUCUUUUCUCUUUCUCUUUCUUUUCUCUUUCUCUUUCUUUUCUCUUAUUUUCGAGGGGGCAGGGUGGGUUGAUAAUUGAAAUCAGGGCCUUCCGUAUUCUUCCUAAGUGUUCUGUGCGAGCUCUAUCCCAGCCCCUCUUGUGACUUGUGUUGGUUCUUUCUGUGUCCACGGGGUAAGCAAGGAGAUUGAGGCUUUAGGAAUGGGAAAAGCUUGGAGAGAGCUAUGGUGCUUCUGGAAACUCAGGUGAGGAGGAGCCGAGAUCUCGUUCAGUGGCAAUCGUGAUGUCUCAGUGACACAUUUUGAGGUCCUGAGUUUUGAUGUCUUUGACUUUAAUGCCGGUGCUUGGGAGGCAGAAGCUGGCAGAUUUCUCUGAGUUCCAGCCAGCCUAGGCUACUGUUUUAGUUACUGGUCUGUUGCUGGGAAGAGACACCGUGACCAUUUAGCUUAUAAAAGAAAGCAUUUAACUGGGGGCUUGCUAUACAGUUUCUGAGGGUUAGUUUAUGAUCAGCACAAUGGGAUGAAUGGCAGCAAGCCGGUAUGGUGCUGUAGUGGUAGCUGAGAGCUCACAGCUGAUUUCCAGGUUGCAGGAAGAAAAAAGUGAGACCAGGCUUUCAAAGCCCAACCCCAAAGAUAUACUUCCUCCCGCAAGACCACACCUCCUAAUCCUAAACAGUCCAACUGGGAACUAAAUAUUCAAAUAAAUAUAUGAAUCUGGGGAAGCCAUUCCCAUUCAAAUCACCAUAGCUACAUAGGGAGCUCUAGAUCUUGUGUUAUAGGGAGACCUGUUUC
RNAcentral lists this long non-coding RNA (4033 nucleotides) under Mus musculus (house mouse). RNAcentral describes it as "long non-coding RNA chr2:52915274-52919307". The record is from RNAcentral. Lineage: Eukaryota; Metazoa; Chordata; Mammalia; Rodentia; Muridae.